This 1837-nucleotide long non-coding RNA is filed under the name Nicotiana tabacum (common tobacco). Its description in RNAcentral is "long non-coding RNA (NTAB_LNC015886)". The record is from RNAcentral. Lineage: Eukaryota; Viridiplantae; Streptophyta; Magnoliopsida; Solanales; Solanaceae.
AGGUGUCCGACAAGGAACAAUUUUAAUAGGAUGUACAACUUGUAUAGCACAAGUGCAAGGUACAACUAGAUGAAGCACAGACAGAUUCUUUUAUACACGGAUUUAGCUCACUUUUCUUCAUUUCUUCAAAGUAUGGACGAUUUUUGGGGAGCUUCAAGAGGGGAUUUUCAUCAUCAAUGUGAAGGUAAGUUAUCCCCACCUAUUUUGAGUUAAGUACAUCAAUUAUGUAUGGAUUUGAGCAUGAAAAUUGUAGAAAAAUUGAGGAUUUAGGCCUAGGGAUUUGAAAAUAAGAUUUGGUGAUUUGAGGGGUCAAAUGAACUCCGAUUUUGGUAAAUUUUGUAUUUACGGACUCGUGGCGAGACGAGGAAUCUGGUGAUGUGACUUUCGUAAUUUUUCGAGAAGUAGGCCCAGGGCUCAGGUUUUGCAAAUUUCGUGAUUUUCGAUAUUUUUCGAGUCUUUUCGAUUGGGUUAUAUUCCCUUAGCCUAUUGUAAUAUAUUCCUUGUGGUUUUGGCAAGAUUCGAUGCGCGAGGAGGUCGAUUCGAAAGGAAAGGGCAUCGCGGAGUAGACUUUUGGCAAUCUUGAGGUGAGUAAUAGAUGUAAAUGUUGUUCUGAGGGUUUGAAACCCCGGACUUUCACAUUGUAACUCUAUAUUGAGGCGUGACACGCACUCCAUGGUGAGUGCGAGGUCGGAUACUAUUGGGGAUUGUGACUUGGUCCAUCCCGUGUGAUGUUUAUACUAUACUGGUGGUUGAUACACAUACUUCAUUGAUAUUACUGGGCUUGAUGCCAUGUUUGGGGCCUUGUGCCGAUUUGUAAAAUCCUUCGAGGAUUGAUAUUACUGCUUAGCAUGAUUUGCAUAUCAUUUAAUUUCAGUCCAAGGUUUUAAAUGUUGUUUUGCAAACUCAUCCAUAAUUCUAAGUGUUGAAAACUUAAAUGAUAUUUUUAAAUGUAUUCCGGGCUGUGAACUUCUGUUUUGUAAAUGCCCAAGGGGCUUAUUAUAUUAUUUUCUGGACUGAUUAUAAAGUGACUUGAAACAGUGGUAACAAUGACACUGUGUGAUAUACUUGAAACAGUGGUAACAAUGACACUGUGUGAUAUACUUGAAAUAGUGGUAACAAUGACACUGAAUGAUAUACUUGAACAGUGGUAACAAUGGCACUGUAUGAUAUAAAUUGGUCAGGUAACAAUGACUGGCCAAGAUAUUGCGCUUGGGCUGUAGGAGCCCCUCCGGAGUCUAUACACACCCCCAGUGAGCGCCGUCGACGAUAAAUAAAUAUGGAUGGCUCGGGCUGCACGCCACAGUGGGUACUAGAAUGUACCAUCAUAUGCAUUGUAUGGCAUUCAUGUAUUUGUAUUUAUACUGGUGUUUAGCUGCUCAGUUCCAUAUGUUGUUGUAUAUUCGGUUUGUAGCUUACUUUGUGUAUUUACUGGAUUUUCUUAUCUUUGGACUGUAGUUACUUUUAUUACUCACUGGGUUGGAGUACUCACUUUACUCCCUGCACCUUGUAUGCAGAUCCAGGGCAGUCUCAGGCUCAGUAGAUCCAGUUGAUCAGCAAAUCCAGCCUCUGGGAGUAUCGAGGUAGUUGCACGGCGUUUGCAGCCAUUGAUCUUCUCCCUCCUAUCAUAUCUCUUUAUUUCUGCAUUAUCGGACAUUGGAUAUACCGUGUAUUAGGAUGAUAUUCUGUAUUCUAGAGGCUCAGACUCGUGACACCGGGUCCUAGUGAGAUUAUAUUGUGUAUUUUGUUAAAAUCUUCAGUACUUUAAUCUUGCUUAAUCUUGAAUAAUGGUCGGGCUUGCCUAGUGGUGUGCUGGGCACCAUCACGACCGGGAUUUAGG